This is a non-coding RNA of Hyaloraphidium curvatum, 90 nucleotides long. The record is from the annotation of a GenBank genome assembly. NCBI's taxonomy places the organism in Eukaryota, Fungi, Monoblepharomycota, Hyaloraphidiomycetes, Hyaloraphidiales, Hyaloraphidiaceae.
ACCCGCGUAGCUCAAUUGGACUAGAGCGUGAGACUCUUACACGAGUUAGAGACCAUCUCAAGGCUGAGGGUUCGACCCCCUCCGUGGGUG